RNAcentral lists this unclassified non-coding RNA (346 nucleotides) under soil metagenome. RNAcentral describes it as "partial contains 5.8S ribosomal RNA, internal transcribed spacer 2, and large subunit ribosomal RNA". The stretch from base 1 to 119 matches the Rfam family "5.8S ribosomal RNA", at positions 35 to 154 of the family's 154-position model. The record is from RNAcentral.
GAUGAAGAACGUAGCGAAAUGCGAUACGUAAUGUGAAUUGCAAAUUCAGUGAAUCAUCGAGUCUUUGAACGCACAUUGCGCCCCCUGGUAUUCCGGGGGGCAUGCCUGUCCGAGCGUCAUUGCUGCCCUCAAGCACGGCUUGUGUGUUGGGCCCCGUCCUCCGAUCCCGGGGGACGGGCCCAAAAGGCAGCGGCGGCACCGCGUCCGGUCCUCGAGCGUAUGGGGCUUUGUCACCCGCUCUGUAGGCCCGGCCGGCGCUUGCCGAUCAACCCAAAUUUUUUAUCCAGGUUGACCUCGGAUCAGGUAGGGAUACCCGCUGAACUUAAGCAUAUCAAUAAGCGGAGGA